RNAcentral lists this non-coding RNA (254 nucleotides) under Ictidomys tridecemlineatus (thirteen-lined ground squirrel). Its description in RNAcentral is "Spermophilus tridecemlineatus (thirteen-lined ground squirrel) Eukaryotic large subunit ribosomal RNA". It matches the Rfam family "Eukaryotic large subunit ribosomal RNA", at positions 131 to 358 of the family's 3401-position model. Lineage: Eukaryota; Metazoa; Chordata; Mammalia; Rodentia; Sciuridae. The record is from Rfam by way of RNAcentral.
GGCGGGAUGUGGGUAGGGUCGGCAGGGGACCGCCCUCCCUCAUUUCCACCGCGGCAGUACGCGGUGACCAGCUCUGGGUCCGGGACGGCUGGGAAGGCUGCUCCUGGACGGUAUGAGGCCGGUAGGGGCUCCUAGCGCGCCCGGCCGGGUUUUCCCGGAGUUGGGUUGCUUGGGAAUGCAGCCCAAAGCGGGUGGUAAACUCCAUCUAAGGUUAAAUACUGGCACGAGAUCGAUAGUCAACAAGUACUGUAAGG